Molecule: unclassified non-coding RNA, 353 nt
Filed under: soil metagenome
Description: partial contains 5.8S ribosomal RNA, internal transcribed spacer 2, and large subunit ribosomal RNA
Rfam family: 5.8S ribosomal RNA (bases 1-120)
Source: RNAcentral
GAUGAAGAACGUAGCGAAAUGCGAUAAGUAAUGUGAAUUGCAGAAUUCAGUGAAUCAUCGAAUCUUUGAACGCACAUUGCGCCCGCCAGUAUUCUGGCGGGCAUGCCUGUUCGAGCGUCAUUACAACCCUCAGGCCCCCGGGCCUGGCGUUGGGGAUCGGCGGAAGCCCCCUGCGGGUACAACGCCGUCCCCCAAAUACAGUGGCGGUCCCGCCGCAGCUUCCAUUGCGUAGUAGCUAACACCUCGCAACUGGAGAGCGGCGCGGCCACGCCGUAAAACACCCAACUUCUGAAUGUUGACCUCGAAUCAGGUAGGAAUACCCGCUGAACUUAAGCAUAUCAAUAAGCGGAGGA